RNAcentral lists this long non-coding RNA (257 nucleotides) under Ananas comosus (pineapple). RNAcentral describes it as "long non-coding RNA (ACOM_LNC029616)". Lineage: Eukaryota; Viridiplantae; Streptophyta; Magnoliopsida; Poales; Bromeliaceae. The record is from RNAcentral.
UAUAUCAGAGUUUGUGCACAAACCAAUUAUAAGCCUCCCACACAUUAAAAAUUUUAGAAUGCAUCAAUUAUAUUGAUGAUAAGGUAUUAUCAGCCAAUUAAAUCGAUCUUUUUGGAUUAAUCUAUUACAUCAUAAUUAUAAAAAAAAUAUUUAUAUUAUAUUUUUUUUUGAAAAAAAAAGUGAUUAAUUUGUUAUUGCCGAUAUAUGGUGCAAGUGUGACACAGUAAAUUUUCUUCACACAUGGGUGUUAACGCAUC